Non-coding RNA from Tinamus guttatus (white-throated tinamou), 220 nucleotides. Lineage: Eukaryota; Metazoa; Chordata; Aves; Tinamiformes; Tinamidae. The record is from RefSeq and is a predicted model, not a curated record.
AAGGACUCUCCAAUCAAUAAGCUGCUUUAUGCCCGGGACAUUCCUCGCUACAAGCAGAUGGUGGAAAGGUAUUAUGCAGACAUUCGUCAAACCAUCUCUGCCAGUGACCAGGAGAUGAACUCUGCCCUGGCUGAGCUGUCACGGAAUUACUCAGGUGACCUCAAUUCCCUGGUGGCUCUACAUGAAUUGUACAAAUACAUCAAUAAGUACUAUGACCAGG